AUUGAAUAGGCUCAUGAUUGACUGCUGAUCUGCAAGUCGUACGCUUCUUUUUCCACCGGAGCUUGCUCCACCGGAAAAAGAAGAGUGGCGAACGGGUGAGUAACACGUGGGUAACCUGCCCAUCAGAAGGGGAUAACACUUGGAAACAGGUGCUAAUACCGUAUAACAAUCGAAACCGCAUGGUUUUGAUUUGAAAGGCGCUUUCGGGUGUCGCUGAUGGAUGGACCCGCGGUGCAUUAGCUAGUUGGUGAGGUAACGGCUCACCAAGGCCACGAUGCAUAGCCGACCUGAGAGGGUGAUCGGCCACAUUGGGACUGAGACACGGCCCAAACUCCUACGGGAGGCAGCAGUAGGGAAUCUUCGGCAAUGGACGAAAGUCUGACCGAGCAACGCCGCGUGAGUGAAGAAGGUUUUCGGAUCGUAAAACUCUGUUGUUAGAGAAGAACAAGGAUGAGAGUAACUGUUCAUCCCUUGACGGUAUCUAACCAGAAAGCCACGGCUAACUACGUGCCAGCAGCCGCGGUAAUACGUAGGUGGCAAGCGUUGUCCGGAUUUAUUGGGCGUAAAGCGAGCGCAGGCGGUUUCUUAAGUCUGAUGUGAAAGCCCCCGGCUCAACCGGGGAGGGUCAUUGGAAACUGGGAGACUUGAGUGCAGAAGAGGAGAGUGGAAUUCCAUGUGUAGCGGUGAAAUGCGUAGAUAUAUGGAGGAACACCAGUGGCGAAGGCGGCUCUCUGGUCUGUAACUGACGCUGAGGCUCGAAAGCGUGGGGAGCAAACAGGAUUAGAUACCCUGGUAGUCCACGCCGUAAACGAUGAGUGCUAAGUGUUGGAGGGUUUCCGCCCCU
Molecule: ribosomal RNA, 844 nt
Filed under: Enterococcus sp. M163
Lineage: Bacteria; Bacillati; Bacillota; Bacilli; Lactobacillales; Enterococcaceae
Description: bacterial SSU rRNA
Rfam family: Bacterial small subunit ribosomal RNA
Source: RNAcentral